GCCUGGGUGGCUCAGUCGGUUGGGCAUCCGACUUCAGCUCAGGUCAUGAUCUCACAGUCUGUGAGUUCGAGCCUCACCUCGGACU
Molecule: transfer RNA, 85 nt
Filed under: Felis catus (domestic cat)
Lineage: Eukaryota; Metazoa; Chordata; Mammalia; Carnivora; Felidae
Also listed under: 1 other name
Rfam family: tRNA
About the family: Transfer RNA (tRNA) molecules are approximately 80 nucleotides in length. Their secondary structure includes four short double-helical elements and three loops (D, anti-codon, and T loops).
Source: Rfam by way of RNAcentral